Molecule: non-coding RNA, 4160 nt
Organism: Salmo salar (Atlantic salmon)
Lineage: Eukaryota; Metazoa; Chordata; Actinopteri; Salmoniformes; Salmonidae
Source: RefSeq, a predicted model, not a curated record
UUCUACACCAGCAUUGCUUGCUGUUUGGGGUUUUAGGCUGGGUUUCUGUACAGCACUUUGAGAUAUCAGCUGAUGUAAGAAGGGCUAUAUAAAUACAUUUGAUUUGGUUUGAUUAGUGGGCAGUGGGAGGAUCCUAUAGAGAACAUUUAAUGGACCUGUUCUCCUCUGUAGUGGGCAGUGGGAGGAUCCUAUAGAGAAUAUUUAAUGGACCUGUUCUCCUCUGUAGUGGGCAGUAGGAGGAUCCUAUAGAGAACAUUUAAUGGACCUGUUCUCCUUUCUGGCAUCAAAGUACCUGGUGACCUGGGAGCCAUAGAGCUGAUUGACUGUCUCAUCAAUGACAAUGAAGCCGUUGAUGCGCUUGGUGUUGCUUCUGAUGGCCUUGAGCUCCUCCUGGUCCUCCAUACGACCACACAGCAGUGGGUCGUUCCCAUCAUCCAGCAGGUUGUGGCAUUGGAUCACUCUGUAGGUGAACACAAUGGGGCUGACCACUGUCCAGGACAUAUUGAGAUGCUCUGGAUGCUGAGUAGCCAGCAGAAAUGAGACUUACCGUUGGGGUUGCUGGUUUGGACUUUUGCUCAGAGGAUUUGAGGUGAGACAUCAUGGCUUGCAGACGCUCUUUGUCUUUUUUCAACUUCAUUGAGGAGAAGAUAAAACAACAAAGAUGUCAUGUGAAGUUGAUUACAGUGAGAAGGUACUGUACAAUGAAUGGGCUUUAUUUAAGCAAAUGUCUUGUCUAUUGUGUACCUGCAGUUCUAGCUGCUGAACAACCUGCAUCUGCACGCGACACUGUGCUGUACUCUUGUCAUCCAGUGCAUGUUCACUGUUCAGAUGCCUGGGGGAAAAACACAUUCUAUUAGAAAACAAGAAAACACUGAAGAAGCCACUAGAACCCAGUGUUGCUAUUACAGUAAGAGAGAUAGACCUUAAUUUGUCUCUCUGAGAGAUUGAAUAGAUGAAGAGAAACUCACUUGAGAAAAACUUGAAAGUCUCCAAAGACAGCCUCACAGCCAGACCAUUUGCACAUGCCGUGUCCAUAGAGAGGGUGAGUGUUUUGUGUGUGAUUAUCCACAGGCCCACUGCAGAGAGACAUACAUAUAUAUAUCAUGAAUGUAACACUUCAGGAAGAGGUUGGACAGAUGAGAAUGAAUAAACACUGUUCCGAAAUGACUAAUCACCUGUCUUUCUUCUUUAGGAUCUGUGAUGGAUGAUUCCCAUUGGUGGUGGACUGCUGACUAUGGAGCAGGUUCUUCUGAAGAGUGGCUAGAUUCUCACCACCAGAGAGCAGGCUGGUGCCAUUCUCACACCCUUUCAUUAAACCUAGGAGAAAUACACAAGUACAUAUAUUAAUUCAGCCAAAUAACUAUAAUAUUCUUGCCCAACAACAACCAAAACAAAAUGUCGCUGCCUUGCAGCCAUGGAGGAGGACAGCAACAACAAACUAAGCAUGGGGCAGAUACUUGAUGGGGGAGGGUAUGUUAGAUUAGGGUUGGGGCUGGGGGGGUAGACACUUACCCUGAGCUGCAGAGGGGCUUAUGGAGGGCAGGACAGACAGGAGACCCUGUCUCUGGAGGCUAAGGAGGUGCUGCUGUUGGACCUGCAGGAGCUGCUGCUGGAUGGCCAUGUGCUGAGCGGCUAGCUGCUGUAGGGGAGUGGGGAGGAGGUACACAUUAGGCCUCAGCAAUACUAUAAUAAUACAUUGAUUUUAUAUAGCGCUUUGGAACAUUUAGAUGACAGCAAAAUACAGACGUAUGACAAACAAUAAGUACGUCGGCCGACCUCUGGACCUGACUUCUCAGCAUGCUUCUGCUGUAGGAGCUGGGCGUUGAACUGGUCCUGCUGUUUCUGGCAAAGAUCCUGUAUGUGUUGCUGUAGAAAAAUAAAAAAACACCUUGAGUUAAUGGAAGGCCAUGAGGAAAUACAGUGGUCACGUUCAAGCCAUCAGCAUCUCACUGGAAGAUCCACAUGAAAAAUAGGGCCUGGAUCUGCUGUGGAUUGAGGACCUGCUGCUGCUUUAGUGUCUGCUGAGGAGUCUCCACCGGAGGGGUCAUCAUAGACACUGAGACUAGAACCUGCCAACACACAAAUACAGAUGAGCACAGAUUAGACAUCGCCAUGCCUGAAAAUAACAGAAAAACAAAAUGCCAACAACACCAUUGAAGUGUUUUUUUUUACAUUUUAAAACCAAAACAUAUGAACAGCCUUUGCUAGGCAUCCAGCAAUUACCCCUCCCUCUCUGCCUAACACCCACAGCUCUGGUGAUGUUUACAGUAAACAUAAUAAGUAAAGCCAAAUAAAUAUACUGAACAAAAAUAUAAAUGCAAUGUGUAAAGUGUUGGUCCAAUGCGUCAUGAGCUGAAAUAAAAAAAUCCCAGAAAUGUUCCAUACGCACAAAAAGAUUAUUUCUCUCAAAUUUGGUGCACAAAUGUGUUUACAUCCCUGUUAGUGAGUAUUUCUCCUUUGCCAAGAUAAUCCAUCCACCUGACAGGUGUGGCAUAUCAAGGAGCUGAUUAAAACAGCAUGAUCGUUACACAUUGGGUGGGCCUAUGCUCUCGCAGGCCCACCCAUGGCUGCACCCCUGCCCAGUCAUGUGAAAUCCAUAGAUUAAGGCCCAAUUUAUUUAUUUCAAUUGACUGAUUUCUUUAUAUGAAAAGUAACUCAGUAAAAUCUUUGAAAUUGUUGCAUGUUGCGUUUAUAUUUUUGUUUAGUAUAGAUAAAAAAAUGAAUACAAAAGCCAGGGAUGCAUGGCAAGAGUUGCAAAAACAGAACUGCAUUGCAGUUUAGAGCCUUGUCACACUUACAAUACUUUUUGUAAAAAUAUCGUCGGAUACACAUAUUAUUCAAAUGUAAACUUGCGUACUUGCAGGAACUUGGGGGUUCCUGAGGCCCAGAGUUAUACCUGAUCUGAUAGUAGGCUAAUCUAACUGGACCCUAGUUGUAGUGUAUGACAUAAAUCAGCUAGGAAAAAAAACUAUUUUAUAUGGGCUAUGAUGGGACCAGAUUAAUUAAGUCAUAUGGUUAAAAAAUUUGACAAACAUUUGACAAAAACUAACAGGGCUGAGCUCGCUGUAUGGCUGGUUGCAUCGUGUAGAUACUCAUAUAGCAUGUCAUCACUAUUGUAUUGAUUGAUUCAUUCCAGUCAAUCAUUUUGGAUUAAAAAGACCUACACUACAUAACCAAAAGUAUGUGGACACCUGCUCGUCGAACAUCUCAUUCCAAAAUCAUGGGCACUCGGAGGUCCUGUUCUGUGAGCUUGUGUGGCCUACCACUUUGUGACUGAGCCGUUGUUGCUCCUAGACAUUUCCACUUCACAAUAACAGCACUUAAAGGUGACAUCCUAUGAAAGUUGAAAGUCACUGAGCUCUUCAGUAAGGCCAUUCUACUGCCAAUGUUGGUCUAUGGAGAUUGCAUAGCUGUGUGCUCAAUUUUAUACACCUGUCAGCAACGGGUAUGGCUGAAAUAGCCAAAUCCACUAUUUUGAAGGGAUGUCCAUAUACUUUUGUAUAUACAGUGUAGGUAGCCUUGCCACCCGAAGUGUGAAUAUAAAAUCACUUUCUCAGAACACAAAUAAAUUGACCUAUUUUAGGCUAUAAAAACAUGACAUGACGUUUCCCCUGGCCAAGCCCAGAUGGGAUCAGAGCGCGUAGGCUUCUCUGGCUACCUGCAGCUGUGGUUGUUGUCAGUAGGCUGUAGUUGGUCAGACUGAAGCAUAGACUAAUUGGUCACGUUGACAAAUCAUGAGGCUUUUUAUUAAACAAAUUUGGUGGCGGGUAUGGAUUUCCAUGUAAAACAGCUUGUCGUGGUGAAUUCAGUUAUACUCACGUUUCCUGUCACAAUUCGCUUUUACCACAUUAAAUAAUUUUCAUGAUAUUGAUCAAAAUGAAGCCUGGUUUGUUGUAAUGUAGGCCUACUGUACUUGUAUAAUAAUAUGAGAGGGUUAAAUCAUCCAUUUUUGAUAGGCUAACGUUACUUGAUGAAGACAUUUUGUUAGCUUUAGUUAGCAGUAACUCUGUGCUUUUGUCUUGAAGCUAAAAUGUAUUGAGUGUAGCCUACAGACGAGAAAAUAAACCCUUUAAAUUGUCUGCACAUACAUGCUUGUGAAUUGUUGCAGUGUAAUAUGGUUUGGUUGCAUUAUUAAACAGUGUAAUAUGUUUUAGAAGAAA